RNAcentral lists this ribosomal RNA (2951 nucleotides) under bacterium. RNAcentral's name for it is "23S ribosomal RNA". It matches the Rfam family "Archaeal large subunit ribosomal RNA". The record is from RNAcentral.
CGCCCGGUGGAUGGCUCGGCUCGGGACGCCGAGGAAGGCCGUGGCAAGCUGCGAAAAGCCCCGGGUAGGCGCACGCGGCCGUUGAACCGGGGAUCGCCGAAUGGGACCUCCUGCCAGGGAGUGCAAGCUCCCUGGCAUCCCGGAGGUUUCUUGCCUCCGGGAGGGGAACCCCCCGAAGUGAAGCAUCUCAGUAGGGGGAGGAAGAGAAACCAAAAAGGGAUGCCGUGAGUAGGGGCGACCGAAAGCGGCACAGCCCAAACUGAACUCCUCGGGGUCAACCCGAGGAGAAUGUGGGGUGGCAGGGCGGACCCAGUUCCCUGCACGGGAAGCCGAAGUGGGCUGGAAUGCCCCGCCGUAGAGGGUGAUAGCCCCGUAGGCGUAACCGUGCAGGGAGUAGGGUCCGUCCCUGAGUACCGUCGGCUGGUUUGCCGGCGGGAAUCUGGCGGACACCUGCCGCCAAGGCUAAACACGUCCCGAGACCGAUAGCGCACUAGUACCGUGAGGGAAAGCUGAAAAGUGCCCCGAAGAGGGGGGUGAAAAGAGCCUGAAACCGGGCGGGGAUAGUCUGGUGCGGCCCGAAAGGAGUGAUUCUCCCCGAAGGAAACCGGGGAAACCCGGGAGUACGAGGGGAGAGGACCGGGGUCGCACCGCGCGUUUAGAAAAACGAGGCGGGGAGUUCACGGGCGUGCCGAGUCUAAGGGGGUCAGCCCCGCAGGCGCAGGGAAACCGAAGGGCCCGCAGCCGGUUCCUCCGGCGAGGGGCCGGGUCCCAAAGGGCCCGAGGCACGCCCGUGAGACCCGAAACCCGGCGAUCUAGCCCGCGGCAGGGUGAAGCCGCCCGUUUGGGCGGUGGAGGCCCGCAAGGGUGCGGGAUGCAGACCGCUCCCCUGACCGCGGGCUAGGGGUGAAAGGCCAAUCGAGCCGGGUGAUAGCUGGUUCCCGCCGAAAUCACCCACAGGUGAGCCCCGCCGGAGGCAGCCGCGGCUGUAGAGCUACGGAUUGGGAGGCCAAGGGGCGCUAAUGCCCCAGCCUCCCAGUCCAACUCCGAAGGCCGUGGCGCCGUAGAUGGCGGGAGUGAGGGUCCUGCGGGUAAGCCGCAGGCCCGAGAGGGGAACAACCCAGACCGGGGUUAAGGCCCCAAAGUGCCGGCUAAGUGCUAAACCCGAAGGGUCUCCGCUCCCGAAGACAGCGGGGAGGUAGGCUUAGAAGCAGCCAUCCUCUAAGGAGUGCGUAACAGCUCACCCGCCUAGGGAGCGGGGCCCGCAAAUUGACGGGGCUAAGCCGGCCGCCGAGACCCCGGGGGACGGGCCGUUUGGCCCGUCAUCCGGUAGGCGGGCGUCCCGAUGGCGCAGAAGGCGGGCCGCGAGGUCCGCUGGAGCCGUCGGGAACGAGAAUCCCGCCGUAAGUAGCAGCAAAGCGGGGUGAAAACCCCCGCCGCCGAAAGGGCCAGGGUUCCUCCGCGCUGUUUGUCAACGGAGGGUUAGUCGGUCCUAACCCGGCCCGUAACUCGGUGCCGGGGAAAGGGAAAGGGGUUAAUAUUCCCCUACCGCCCGGGUAGGCGCGGCAACGCAAGCCCGCUCCCUGACGCCUCGGGCUAGGCCGACCGGGGUCGUCGCCCCGGCCAAUCCGGAUAGGGCCGCGGAGUGCCGUAAUGGCGAGAAGCGGCUCAAACCGGAGAUGGGGCGGCCUUGUGCCGCUUCGGCCGAGGCCUGGGGCCCGUGAAAAGGGGAGCGGGAACGAUCCCGGGCGACCGUACCGAGAACCGACACAGGUGUCCCUGGGUGAGCAGCCUAAGGCGUGCGGGGGCUAACGGGGCCGAGGGAACUCGGCAAAUUGGCCCCGUAACUUCGGGAGAAGGGGUGCCCGUGGUCCUGAACCGGUGGUCGCGGGCUCCAGCCCGCGGCUGCCGGGGAGGGACCGCGGGUCGCAGUGACAAGGGGGGACCGACUGUUUAAUAAAAACGCAGGUCCCCGCUAGGCCGCAAGGCUUUGUACGGGGGCCGACGCCUGCCCAGUGCCGGUGCGUGAAGCCGGGGUACAACCCGGUUAAGCCCCGGUAAACGGCGGGGGUACUCUGACCUCCUUAAGGUAGCGAAAUUCCUUGCCGGUUAAUUGCCGGCCCGCAUGAACGGCGUAACGAGUCCCCCACUGUCCCCGGCCCCGACCCCGUGAAAGCGUCAUCCCCGCGCAGGGACGGGGGACCCCCGGUAGGCAGAAAAGACCCCGUGGAGCUUCACCGCAGCCUGGCGUUGGGCUGGUGGGGCGGGCGCGCAGCGUAGGCGGGAGGCAGUGAAGCCCGCCCUUCGGGGCGGGUGGAGCCGCCCAUGAGACACCGCCCGUCCGCUUCACCAGCCCUAACCCGCCGCGUGCGGGGACAGCGCCAGGUGGGCGGUUUAGCUGGGGCGGCAUGCCCCCGAAAAGGUAUCGGGGGCGCCCAAAGGUCGGCUCAGGCGGGUCAGAAACCCGCCGUAGAGUGCAAGGGCAAAAGCCGGCCUGACUGCGCCCCGAACAGAAAGGGGCGCAGGGGGGAAACCCGGGCCUAGCGAACGGUGGACCCCCACAGGUGGGGGUCCACCAUGGCAGAGAAGUUACCCCGGGGAUAACAGAGUGGUCUCGGGCGAGAGUCCCCAUCGACCCCGAGGCUUGCCGCAUCGUUGUCGGCUCUUCCCAUCCUGGGCGGGCAGUACCGCCCAAGGGUGGGGGUGCCCACCCGUUAAAGGGGAACGUGAGCUGGGUUUAGAUCGUCGCGAGACAGGUCGGUCUCUAGCCGCCGGGGGUGCUGGCCGCCUGAGGGGAAGGGAGCCUUAGUACGAGAGGAACGGGCUCCCGCGGCCUCUGGUCGACCGGCCGUCCGACAGGGCGCGCCGGGCAGCUACGCCGUGCGGGGAUAAGGGCUGAAAGCAUCUAAGCCCGAAGCCCUCCCCGAAAAGAGGCGGCCGUUCCCCGUCCAGGG